This 440-nucleotide ribosomal RNA is filed under the name uncultured bacterium. RNAcentral's name for it is "partial 16S ribosomal RNA". It matches the Rfam family "Bacterial small subunit ribosomal RNA", at positions 338 to 795 of the family's 1533-position model. The record is from RNAcentral.
CCUACGGGAGACAGCAGUGGGGGAUAUUGCACAAUGGGGGGAACCCUGAUGCAGCGACGCCGCGUGGGGGAAGAAGCGCCUCGGCGCGUAAAGCCCUGUCAGCAGGGAAGAAAAUGACGGUACGUGAAGAAGAAGCCCCGGCUAACUACGUGACAGCAGCCGCGGUAAUACGUAGGGGGCACGCGUUAACCGGAUUGACUGGGUGGAAAGGGGGCGCAGACGGCGAUGCAAGCCAGGAGUGAAAGCCCGGGGCCCAACCCCGGGACUGCACUUGGAACUGCGUGGCUGGAGUGCAGGAGGGGCAGGCGGAAUUCCUGGUGUAGCGGUGAAAUGCGUAGAUAUGAGGAAGAACACCGAUGGCGAAGGCAGCCUGCUGGACUGCAACUGACGUUGAGGCCCGAAAGCGUGGGGAGCAAACAGGAUUAGAUACCCCUGUAGUC